AAGAAAGUGGCAGAGCGGUUAUGUUAUUGGCUUGAAACCAAUUUAUGGGGGUUCGACUCCUCCCUUUCUGG
This 71-nucleotide transfer RNA is filed under the name Sillago aeolus (oriental sillago). RNAcentral describes it as "tRNA-Ser". It matches the Rfam family "tRNA". Rfam says of the family: Transfer RNA (tRNA) molecules are approximately 80 nucleotides in length. Their secondary structure includes four short double-helical elements and three loops (D, anti-codon, and T loops). Lineage: Eukaryota; Metazoa; Chordata; Actinopteri; Sillaginidae. The record is from RNAcentral. RNAcentral also lists the same sequence under 1 other name.